GACAGAGGUGCCGAGCGUUAGGCGGAAUCACUGGGCUUAAAGCGUGUGUAGGCGGACUUCUAAGUCCCUUGUGAAAUCCCACGGCUUAACCGUGGAACUGCUUGGUAUACUGGUUGUCUUGGGCCAUCUAGGGGCUACUGGAACAAACGGUGGAGCGGUGAAAUGCGUAGAUAUCGUUUGGAACGCCAAUGGUGAAAACAAGUAGCUGGGGAUGUGCCGACGCUGAGACACGAAAGCCAGGGGAGCGAACGGG
Molecule: ribosomal RNA, 253 nt
Filed under: uncultured bacterium
Lineage: Bacteria
Description: partial 16S ribosomal RNA
Rfam family: Bacterial small subunit ribosomal RNA
Source: RNAcentral